This 64-nucleotide transfer RNA is filed under the name Polyphylla laticollis mandshurica. Its description in RNAcentral is "tRNA-Ala". The record is from RNAcentral. Lineage: Eukaryota; Metazoa; Arthropoda; Insecta; Coleoptera; Scarabaeidae.
AGGGUAAUAGUUAACUAUAACAUUUAACUUGCACUUAAAAAGUAUUGGCCCCCAAUUUACCUUA